This is a long non-coding RNA of Onychostruthus taczanowskii (white-rumped snowfinch), 344 nucleotides long. RefSeq lists it as uncharacterized. Lineage: Eukaryota; Metazoa; Chordata; Aves; Passeriformes; Passeridae. The record is from RefSeq and is a predicted model, not a curated record. The transcript has 4 exons.
UCGGGAUUUUGGGGGGAAUCUGAUUUUAAAGGAGGAUCUUUGUUUGUGGAGGCAUUUUAGGGGGUUUUACAGGAGUUUCAAGACUCUUAAUUUCUUUUUUAAUUGCUUUUUUUAGCUCUUGGCUCAUGGAAUCCUCAUCCAUGGGUUCCCCAUGGCCCCUCCCCAGUGGGAGAGGCUUCAGCCCAGGGUGAUCUUCGGGCCACCAUGAAGUGAUGGCAGUGUCCCCAGCCCAGUGGGAGAUGCUUCACCCUGAGGUGACCCUCGGACUGCAGUGCCCCCAGCCCAGUGGGAGAUGCCUCACCCUGAGGUGACCCUCGGACCGCAGCGCCCCCAGCCCAGGUCAG